GGCAGCCGCGGUAAUUCCAGCUCCAAUAGCGUAUAUUAAAGUUGCUGCAGUUAAAAAGCUCGUAGUUGAAUUUCGGGACCAAUUUGUCGGUCAUGCCUCGGUACGCACUGGCUUAUUGGUUUCUCCCUUCUGAAGAACCAUGAUGUCAUUUAUUUGGUGUCGUGGGGAAUCAGGACUGUUACUUUGAAAAAAUUAGAGUGUUUAAAGCAGGCUCACGCUUGAAUACAUUAGCAUGGAAUAAUGAAAUAGGACGUUUGAUUCUAUUUUGUUGGUUUCUAGGAUCGACGUAAUGAUUAAUAGGGAUAGUUGGGGGCAUUAGUAUUCAAUUGUCAGAGGUGAAAUUCUUGGAUUUAUUGAAGACUAACUACUGCGAAAGCAUUUGCCAAGAAUGUUUUCAUUAAUCAAGAACGAAAGUUAGAGGUUCGAAGGCGAUCAGAUACCGCCCUAGUUCUAACCAUAAACGAUGCAACCAGCGAUUAGCCUGAGUUCCUUAAAUGACUCGGCUAGC
Molecule: ribosomal RNA, 508 nt
Filed under: uncultured Glomus
Lineage: Eukaryota; Fungi; Glomeromycota; Glomeromycetes; Glomerales; Glomeraceae
Description: bacterial SSU rRNA
Rfam family: Eukaryotic small subunit ribosomal RNA
Source: RNAcentral